Molecule: ribosomal RNA, 441 nt
Filed under: uncultured bacterium
Lineage: Bacteria
Description: partial 16S ribosomal RNA
Rfam family: Bacterial small subunit ribosomal RNA
Source: RNAcentral
CCUACGGGAGACAGCAGUGGGGAAUAUUGCACAAUGGAGGAAACCCUGAUGCAGCGACGCCGCGUGAGUGAAGAAGUAUUUCGGUAUGUAAAGCUCUAUCAGCAGGGGAGAAGAAAGACGGUACCUGACUAAGAAGCCCCGGCUAACUACGUGCCAGCAGCCGCGGUACUACGUAGGGGGCAAGCGUUAUCCGGAUUUACUGGGUGUAAAGGGAGCGUAGACGGCUGGGCAAGUCUGAGGUGAAAGCCCAGGGCUCAACUCCGGGACUGCUUUGGAAACUGUGGAGCUAGAGUGCUGGUGAGGUAAGUGGAAUGUCUAGUGUAGCGGUGAAAUGCGUAGAUAUUAGGCGGAACACCAGUGGCGAAGGCGGCUUACUGGACAGUAACUGACGUUGAGGCUCGAAAGCGUGGGGAGCAAACAGGAUUAGAUACCCGGGUAGUC